Ursus maritimus (polar bear) is the source of this 636-nucleotide long non-coding RNA. The record is from Ensembl. NCBI's taxonomy places the organism in Eukaryota, Metazoa, Chordata, Mammalia, Carnivora, Ursidae.
AAGAUUUAUUUAUUUAUUUAUUUAUUUAUUUAUUUGACAGAGAGAGAGAGACAGCCAGCGAGAGAGGGAACACAGCAGGGGGAGUGGGAGAGGAAGAAGCAGGCUCCCAGCAGAGAAGCCUGAUAUGGGGCUCGAUUCCAGAACGUCAGGAUCACGCCCUGAGCCGAAGGCAGACGCUUAACAACUGCACCAUCCAGGCGCCCCUGCAUGGUUUUUUUCUAAUAUUGUCCUCACUGAAAGAAGCUCAGACCAAGGAACAGAAAAGAAGUUUAAUACGUGGUUCCUAUGGAGACACUGAUGCUUGAUCUACCCAGUUACCUCUGUGUUCAGUUACUGAUGGUCUGUCGCAACUUGACAGGUUCCAAAAUUAGAAAGAUGGAAAAUUCUGCUGCAAUUCUUAGGUGUCUAGCAAUCCGGCUUAUAUUGCUUUUAUCCAUUAAGAUAAUCAGAGGGAUGGAAACUCAAGUACUAUAUAUCAACUCAAAGAGGGGAUGUAAUGAAAGAAAUGGAUGCCGAACAUCAGAGACCACGUGGCCUGAGCGAUUCAACGAUGCAGUCCCUGUGAGUCCCAUCAGUAUAUCCUGUGGUUUGUUCCAUAAGACCCUCCUCUGCUUUCUGGAGUUUGAUCUAUUUUGA